This 858-nucleotide long non-coding RNA is filed under the name Equus asinus (donkey). Its description in RNAcentral is "lncRNA (ENSEASG00005033781.1)". The record is from RNAcentral. Lineage: Eukaryota; Metazoa; Chordata; Mammalia; Perissodactyla; Equidae.
UUCAUUCUGAAUGCACAGGAGAGUCACCUGGGGAGGAUUUUCAGACGCCAGGGCCCUACUCUGACCAACAAAAUCAGAUUUAGGAAGAGGCCGGAGUAUCAGGAAUUUUAAAAAGCUCCUGAGGGGAGCCCAGUGAGUAGCCAGGGUUGAGAACCACUUUGCUAGAGGAAGCUGAUCUGAGAAACAAGCGGAGGUGACGGUGGGGAAGAAGGAGCUUGAAUCUCUCCCUGGUCUACCAGCAGGUUUGGGGAACAGGGGCCUGGACCUGCAGGCAGACAUUUUGCCACCACCUGAAGCAGGGGAUAAACCCAACAUGGAAGACUGUGGAGCUGAGAUACGGAGAAGAGACAAAUCUUGAUGACAUGAUUUGAGACAUUCCUGAAGAUGAAGUCUGAUGAAAGAGAAAACCGAUGCAGCAGUGUCAGUUAAUUCAGAGCCCAGGGCUGCUUUCAAAAGUGGGGCUUAGUAUGACCCCAGAGACAGCCGACUUCAACUCAAAUGACCUUGGAAUCUGACAGAGGGCAUUUCAGUUUCAGAAAUCUUUUGCAACAUACAAGUAACUAUUUCAUGAAAAAGUUUUUGGAAAGCUCAACAACUGCAUCACGCAUCGUUCUCUGCUGAGCAUUUUCAUCUGCAACCUGAUGAUGACUGGACUAGGAAUCGUCUCGUAAAGGGCACCUUGGUGGUGCGUGGAGCUGCCGACGGGCACUUUGCAGCUGAGCACGCACGUUCCUGGUCAGAAACCCACCGCUCUCCUCCUGACACUGGCUUUUGCCAACCAAGGGAGGAAGCUGUCCAUCAAGGGAGGCAGAGAGAAGCGCCUGCCCACUUGAGAUGUGCACGGCAGCCCCACACCCC